Molecule: long non-coding RNA, 172 nt
Organism: Juglans microcarpa x Juglans regia
Lineage: Eukaryota; Viridiplantae; Streptophyta; Magnoliopsida; Fagales; Juglandaceae
Exons: 2
Source: RefSeq, a predicted model, not a curated record
GAUGCUAUAGUAGUUUAAUAUCACUGCUGCUGUUCUACAUCACAAACUAAACCAAGUUUUCUAUCCAAUUAAAGGAUUUAUCAGUGUUAUAAAAACAAUGAUAGUUUGGAGGUGCAAAAUGUAAUUUCAUCAUUCCAAAUGGGAAUUUUAUUCUGUUGUAUUCUAGCUUUUG